This 73-nucleotide transfer RNA is filed under the name Bos taurus (domestic cattle). It matches the Rfam family "tRNA". From Rfam's summary of the family: Transfer RNA (tRNA) molecules are approximately 80 nucleotides in length. Their secondary structure includes four short double-helical elements and three loops (D, anti-codon, and T loops). Lineage: Eukaryota; Metazoa; Chordata; Mammalia; Artiodactyla; Bovidae. RNAcentral also lists the same sequence under 5 other names. The record is from Rfam by way of RNAcentral.
UCCCUGGUGGUCCAGUGGCUAGAAUGCUGCAUUCCCAGUGCAGAGGGCGCAGGUUCGAUCCCUGGUCAGGGAA